UUAAAUAGCCGCAGUAUUUUGACUGUGCGAAGGUAGCAUAAUCAUUUGUCUUUUAAUUGAAGGCUUGUAUGAAUGGUCGGAUGAAAAAAUAACUUUCUUUACAUUAAAUGUUGAAUUUAAUUUUUUGGUUAAAAAGCUAAAAUAAUUGAAUGGGACGAGAAGACCCUAUAGAAUUUUAUUAAAUUGUAGUUUUGAAUUUAUUGGUUAAUUAUUAUUUUUAAUUAUAAUUUUAAUUUUGUUGGGGUGACAUUGAGAUUUAUUUAACUCUCAUAAUAUAAAGUUUAUUUAUUUAUAUAUAAAAGAUCCUAUUUUAUGGAUUAAUAGAUUAAAUUACCUUAGGGAUAACAGCGUAAUUUUUCUGGAGAGUUCUUAUCAAUAGAAAAGUUUGCGACCUCGAUGUUGGAUUAAAAUUAGAUUUAAGUGCAGAAGCUUAAUUUUCUAGGUCUGUUCGACCUUUAAAUUUUUACAUGAUCUGAUUUCAAACCG
RNAcentral lists this ribosomal RNA (486 nucleotides) under Graphosoma rubrolineatum. Its description in RNAcentral is "partial 16S ribosomal RNA". It matches the Rfam family "Bacterial large subunit ribosomal RNA", at positions 1923 to 2618 of the family's 2925-position model. Lineage: Eukaryota; Metazoa; Arthropoda; Insecta; Hemiptera; Pentatomidae. The record is from RNAcentral.